CGAAAUGCGAUAAGUAAUGUGAAUUGCAGAAUUCAGUGAAUCAUCGAAUCUUUGAACGCACAUUGCGCCCGCCAGCACUCUGGCGGGCAUGCCUGUUCGAGCGUCAUUUCAACCCUCAGAACCCCUUGCGGGAUCUGGCGUUGGGGAUUGGCAUCCAGCCAGCCCCGAAAUCUAGCGGCGGUCCCUCCGCGACCUCCCCUGUGCAGUAGCGAUACCUCGCAGCGGGACAGCGGUCUGACCACGCCGUAAAACCCCCAACUUCUCAAGGUUGACCUCGAAUCAGGUAGGAAUACCCGCUGAACUUAAGC
This 308-nucleotide unclassified non-coding RNA is filed under the name plant metagenome. RNAcentral's name for it is "partial contains 5.8S ribosomal RNA, internal transcribed spacer 2, and large subunit ribosomal RNA". The stretch from base 1 to 106 matches the Rfam family "5.8S ribosomal RNA", at positions 49 to 154 of the family's 154-position model. The record is from RNAcentral.